Long non-coding RNA from Arachis stenosperma, 2186 nucleotides. RefSeq lists it as uncharacterized. Lineage: Eukaryota; Viridiplantae; Streptophyta; Magnoliopsida; Fabales; Fabaceae. The record is from RefSeq and is a predicted model, not a curated record. The transcript has 6 exons.
AGAUUAUUUGAUCAGCAGCACUGGCACUCAAGGUGAUAAAGAGCUCAUCAAUAAUGUCCACUCUUCCACUUCCUCCCACCAACUGUAACCUUAUUUUUCCCUGACCUGAUAGCUUUCAUUUUUGGCCUCAAGAGCAGUUAAUUGAAAACAGAGUCCUACAUCUUGCUAAAAUCAUGUGUUCAUAGCAGCGAACAAAGCACAGAGCAGAGUUCCAAGAAAUUGUGUUUUGCUGUUAUUAAAUAUUUUUUCUUUAUUUUUCAAAGUAAAGAAAAAGAAAACAUUUUAAUAGCUAUGCUGAGUUCAGCUGCUUCUUCAACUGCAGGAAGAAGAAUGGACCCUCGGUAGUACACAAAUUGGGCUUUGGACAAAUGGGAUACUUGGUGAAGGAGAAUGCCUUGUUUUCCAACACUGUCAGGAGCUUAGACAAAGAUGUCUCCAAGAACCACGUUCUUCCCUUUGAAUUCAAAUUGCAGACAAGAAAACCACAUGCAAAUGCAAAGCAAAGAGAAUGAUGGACAUAGGAGGAGCAUACGCUGUUUCUAGGAGCCAUAGUGCUAUAUGGAAGAAUUGCAGAGCAUGGAAGAUUCUGGAAUUUUGAGAAAGAAAGUGAAGAGGUGGGAGGUCAAGGUGUUGGGUUUUAGCUCAGAGAUGGAGAGGAAAUUGAGCAGCUCAUCAAGGAGGAGGGUGCUGAUGAGGAGGGUGUGGAACCAGUGAAGGAACAAGAGGAGAAAAGUGUUAACUAGCAUUGUUUUGAAAGGUAAUGCAUGUUGGAUAUUGUUAGCACUUGCAUGCUUGGUCAUUAUAGGUUCCUUGCUAAGGUGACAAAGCUAAAGCCUGCAGAUCUGCCUUUGUAUUUGAUGAAUACCUUUCUGUCUUCAUAAUUCUAUAUUUUCACAGUUGUUUUCAAUCUUUGAAUACUCGGGCAUAUCUGUUGGUGCAUAGCUAGAACUUCAGUUAGUCUUUCUUUGAUGUUGGAACAAAGCUUUGGAGAAGAGAACUAAUUCAACAGGUGAGACAUAGUGAUUUUCAACACCAUAUCCUGUUGUUGAGUUACUUCCAAUAUUGUUGAAGAGCAGAGAAGUAGAUUAUGUUGUUGAAAGGUACCGCUUAUGGUGGUGUCUGAUCCUGCAAGUUGGAGUGAAAGUGGUCUUAUAGUAGAAAGAAACAGCAGGUAAAGCUGAAGGAGAGGACUGACAAAUGCUUAAAAGAAAAACAUAUGCUGAAAUUUGCUUCAUUAUGCUUCCUUAUAAGAGUUUAAUUAGAAUUACGUAAACAUAAUUUUCCAGAAUUUAAUUGGUAGUUUUCUUCUAUGCUUCAACAUCAAUGAACUUGUAUUUUUUGUGCUAGAGUAAUAUUUUUGUGAUAGAGUUCUAUAUCUUCUAUUGAAUAUGCAGAGCUAAAGAAGCAAAAAGUUUCUGAAGCAAGACUGGAAUUGAUGAGGCAGAAACUUUGGUUCUCUCACCACCCUCUUUUUUCUUUCUCUAUUUUUUUUAAAAAGCUGCCUUAAUUUCUCAUUAUCUCAUAUAGUCUUUUUUAAGAGGCUUUGGCUUUUAAAUAAUGACAGUAUAAAAAUCUCAUAUAAGUAAUUUUUUUUUGCUUUUGGUGCACCUAUUUGCCUUCUUAAUCUGUGAUAAUUUCUUAAUAUUUGUAGGUAUUACAAAAAAUAUCAUGGCCCAAAAGUUCAGAAGCUCUUAGAUCAAACAAGCUCAUAUUCAAUUACUAUUAUCAAGGAGUUAGGAAAAAUCACUGUUCUUAACCGAUGUUGCUCAUGUGAUAUCAUCAUAGAUAGUCCCCCUAAAUGGUUCCCAUCAAGAAUAAUUUGAUGGACUAGCAGAGGAUGAGGGAAUUUUUUUUUCGAAAAACUUUCAAAGAUGCUAUCAGUUUGUAAAAGCUAUAGAAGAAAAAACCAGCACAAUUAUUUAUUCAAAGAACUAAAAGAAAAUAGUUAUUUCACUAGGUAUGAGCCAUUAGCAACUGAAGUAGUUGAUGGUUUAUAUGAUUUAUGCUUUAAGGCAUUACAUUUUUUUUUUUAUUUUUGUUUUUGUGUUUGUGUGCUUGUGUGUAAGGAUGUUAACAUGUGCUUGAAUGUUGAUUUGUGUUACUUAAGCAUAUAUGCUUAAGUAGAAUAAAAAUGUUGAUUGUGUUGUUGUAUCAAUGACUGUGUUAGAUAACUAUACAUGUCAACU